CUACGGGACGCAGCAGUGGGGAAUAUUGCACAAUGGGGGGAACCCUGAUGCAGCAACGCCGCGUGGAGGAUGACGCAUUUCGGUGUGUAAACUCCUUUUAUAUGUCAAGAAAAUGACGGUAGCAUAUGAAUAAGCACCGGCUAACUCCGUGCCAGCAGCGGCGGUAAUACGGAGGGUGCAAGCGUUACUCGGAAUCACUGGGCGUAAAGGACGCGUAGGCAGGUUGGAAAGUCAGGUGUGAAAUCCUACAGCUUAACUGUAGAACUGCACUUGAAACUUCUAAUCUAGAGUAUGGGAGGGGGAGAUGGAAUUAGUGGUGUAGGGGUAAAAUCCGUAGAUAUCACUAGGAAUACCUAAAGCGAAGGCGAUCUCCUGGAACAUUACUGACGCUAAGGCGUGAAAGCGUGGGGAGCAAACAGGAUUAGAUACCCCCGUAGUC
Molecule: ribosomal RNA, 439 nt
Filed under: uncultured bacterium
Lineage: Bacteria
Description: partial 16S ribosomal RNA
Rfam family: Bacterial small subunit ribosomal RNA
Source: RNAcentral